Molecule: small RNA, 428 nt
Filed under: Arabidopsis thaliana (thale cress)
Lineage: Eukaryota; Viridiplantae; Streptophyta; Magnoliopsida; Brassicales; Brassicaceae
Description: ATSL037240
Source: RNAcentral
UUAGAUCAAUUAAUCCUAAAGCACUAUCAUGUCGUUGUAGUACUGAAGGUUGUCAAUCCAAAUGGGUGUGAUGCUAACAAUCAAGAUGUGAUCAGAAGUCACUAAGUCAAGCCAAACAAUAACAAGUUUUGGUGUGUUCUAGCAGUUCUAAGUUUACAUGCAGAAAACAGAAAUUCAAGCAGAAACAUUAAAACACUCGACCAACACAGCUCUUUGCAGAGCACUGGGUGAGGUCGAGUAACAGACAUAAAAUAAAACACAGAUACUCGACUGCACAGUCUGUUGGCAGACAACUAGGUGGUCGAGUAUUAGGUCGAGUAACAAGAAAGAAUUGUAGAAAUUAAGCAACAAAUAACAAGAUGCAGUAAACAACAAUAGAGUAAACAAAGAAUUCAAUCAGAUAAAGAAUUCCCGAGGAUGGGGGAAUU